This 914-nucleotide unclassified non-coding RNA is filed under the name Hevea brasiliensis (rubber tree). Lineage: Eukaryota; Viridiplantae; Streptophyta; Magnoliopsida; Malpighiales; Euphorbiaceae. The record is from RNAcentral.
AAGAGAGGAGAUCAUACAGAUUUUAGUACACCUAUCCAAAAUAAGACACCUUAGCAACCCAUCACUGCACAAUUAUAAACAAAACUUCCUGAAUGUUUUCUCCCUAACAAAUUCCAAUUUGGUGCACCUUCUGUUGGUUCCCAAGAAUUAAUCUCAAUGAAUCGCCCAUUUAACGCCCUAGGUCCUCCAAUAACAAUGAGCUGAUCUCCACAUGCCCUAAAUGCUAGCCCCCAACCAUUCAUAGAGGUCGCCUGUUCCGGCAAUCUUCCUAUAGUAAUCCAUAAGUUUCUUUGCUUAUCAUAUUUCCAAACUUCAUUUUCAGCAUAAUAAGCAGCAUAUAACUCAUUCUUCACAACUGCUAAGAGUGGAGGUGCCUUAGCUAUUGCAGGAGCAUCAUUAGCUACAGCUCCUCUGUUACGUGCUGGGAACAUAUCAGGUACCUCUGUCCAAGACCUUGCUUUGAAAUCAUACACUUCACCACAAGUAAGUACAUUUAAAUUGCCAACACCAACCCCACCAAUUAUAUGGAACUUCCCAUCCAAGAAUACUCCAGAACACAAUUUUCUUGGUUUAUUCAUGCUUGGCAGAGUCUCCCAUGUUCCUGUUUCUGAAUUAUAAAGCUCAGCAGAGCUUAGUAUAUUGCCCCUUGAGUCACAACCGCCUGCUACAAUUGCAAUUUCCCCGAGGCUUCCAGAGCCAAAAAGGCACCUAGGUGUGUUUGUCUUCAUACCCGAUGACCAUGAGUUGGUCAGGAUGCUGUAUUUGUAGAUGACAUGAGACUCUAUUGCCUUUCCAAAUACAAGAAGUUCAGUACCAACUGCCAGUGAUUCCUUGUCAGAACACAUGAAGCAUUCAUUUGAUGUCAUCGCCGGCAAAUGCAUCCACCUAGAGCGAAUGGGAUCAAAGGCCUCCCA